UGGGGAAUUUUGGACAAUGGGCGAAAGCCUGAUCCAGCAAUGUCACGUGUGUGAAGAAGGCCUUCGGGUUGUAAAGCACUUUUGUCCGGAAAGAAAUCCUUGGCUCUAAUACAGUCGGGGGAUGACGGUACCGGAAGAAUAAGCACCGGCUAACUACGUGCCAGCAGCCGCGGUAAUACGUAGGGUGCAAGCGUUAAUCGGAAUUACUGGGCGUAAAGCGUGCGCAGGCGGUUUGCUAAGACCGAUGUGAAAUCCCCGGGCUCAACCUGGGAACUGCAUUGGUGACUGGCAGGCUAGAGUAUGGCAGAGGGGGGUAGAAUUCCACGUGUAGCAGUGAAAUGCGUAGAGAUGUGGAGGAAUACCGAUGGCGAAGGCAGCCCCCUGGGCCAAUACUGACGCUCAUGCACGAAAGCGUGGGGAGCAAAACAGGAUUAGAUACCCUGGUAGUCCACGCCCUAAACGAUGUCAACUAGUUGUUGGGGAUUCAUUUCCUUAGUAACGUAGCUAACGCGUGAAGUUGACCGCCUGGGGAGUACGGUCGCAAGAUUAAAACUC
Molecule: ribosomal RNA, 555 nt
Filed under: uncultured bacterium
Lineage: Bacteria
Description: partial 16S ribosomal RNA
Rfam family: Bacterial small subunit ribosomal RNA
Source: RNAcentral